This 484-nucleotide ribosomal RNA is filed under the name uncultured bacterium. RNAcentral's name for it is "partial 16S ribosomal RNA". It matches the Rfam family "Bacterial small subunit ribosomal RNA", at positions 30 to 507 of the family's 1533-position model. The record is from RNAcentral.
AUUGAACGCUGGCGGCAGGCCUAACACAUGCAAGUCGAGCGGAUGAAGGGAGCUUGCUCCUGGAUUCAGCGGCGGACGGGUGAGUAAUGCCUAGGAAUCUGCCUGGUAGUGGGGGAUAACGUCCGGAAACGGGCGCUAAUACCGCAUACGUCCUGAGGGAGAAAGUGGGGGAUCUUCGGACCUCACGCUAUCAGAUGAGCCUAGGUCGGAUUAGCUAGUUGGUGGGGUAAAGGCCUACCAAGGCGACGAUCCGUAACUGGUCUGAGAGGAUGAUCAGUCACACUGGAACUGAGACACGGUCAAGACUCCUACGGGAGGCAGCAGUGGGGAAUAUUGGACAAUGGGCGAAAGCCUGAUACAGCCAUGCCGCGUGUGUGAAGAAGGUCUUCGGAUUGUAAAGCACUUUAAGUUGGGAGGAAGGGCAGUAAGUUAAUACCUUGCUGUUUUGACGUUACCAACAGAAUAAGCACCGGCUAACUUCGUG